This 253-nucleotide ribosomal RNA is filed under the name uncultured bacterium. RNAcentral describes it as "partial 16S ribosomal RNA". It matches the Rfam family "Bacterial small subunit ribosomal RNA", at positions 524 to 776 of the family's 1533-position model. The record is from RNAcentral.
UACGUAGGUGGCGAGCGUUGUCCGGAAUUACUGGGUGUAAAGGGCGUGUAGGCGGGAGAUGAAGUCAGAUGUGAAAUUCCCAGGCUCAACUUGGGGGCUGCAUCUGAAACUAAUAUUCUUGAGUGCUGGAGAGGAAAGCGGAAUUCCUAGUGUAGCGGUGAAAUGCGUAGAUAUUAGGAGGAACACCAGUGGCGAAGGCGGCUUUCUGGACAGUAACUGACGCUGAGGCGCGAAAGCGUGGGGAGCAAACAGG